GAGUUUGAUCCUGGCUCAGAUUGAACGCUGGCGGCAUGCUUUACACAUGCAAGUCGAACGGCAGCACGGGCUUCGGCCUGGUGGCGAGUGGCGAACGGGUGAGUAAUACAUCGGAACGUACCCAGAAGUGGGGGAUAACGCAGCGAAAGUUGCGCUAAUACCGCAUACGUUCUACGGAAGAAAGUGGGGGAUCUUCGGACCUCAUGCUUUUGGAGCGGCCGAUGUCUGAUUAGCUAGUUGGUAGGGUAAAGGCCUACCAAGGCGACGAUCAGUAGCUGGUCUGAGAGGACGACCAGCCACACUGGAACUGAGACACGGUCCAGACUCCUACGGGAGGCAGCAGUGGGGAAUUUUGGACAAUGGGCGCAAGCCUGAUCCAGCAAUGCCGCGUGAGUGAAGAAGGCCUUCGGGUUGUAAAGCUCUUUUGUCAGGGAAGAAACGGUUCCGGCUAAUAUCUGGAGCUAAUGACGGUACCUGAAGAAUAAGCACCGGCUAACUACGUGCCAGCAGCCGCGGUAAUACGUAGGGUGCAAGCGUUAAUCGGAAUUACUGGGCGUAAAGCGUGCGCAGGCGGUUUUGUAAGUCUGUCGUGAAAGCCCCGGGCUCAACCUGGGAAUUGCGAUGGAGACUGCAAGGCUUGAAUCUGGCAGAGGGGGGUAGAAUUCCACGUGUAGCAGUGAAAUGCGUAGAGAUGUGGA
RNAcentral lists this ribosomal RNA (698 nucleotides) under Massilia sp. TH208. RNAcentral describes it as "bacterial SSU rRNA". It matches the Rfam family "Bacterial small subunit ribosomal RNA", at positions 9 to 702 of the family's 1533-position model. The record is from RNAcentral. Lineage: Bacteria; Pseudomonadati; Pseudomonadota; Betaproteobacteria; Burkholderiales; Oxalobacteraceae.